ACACUCAACAAUGCUUAUCCGAUAGGUGAUAACUACUUCACUGACUCCUAGACAUGCAAGACUUUUUAGCUGUGGGUUUGUUUUUGCCAAAAGUGACUAGUUGGUCCUUACUUUCAACAUUUUAGCUCAGGUUCUAAGUUCAUUAACCAGUCUAAAUUAGCAACUUAUACUAAGCAAACAUAGUUUCCAAAUAAUUAAAGAACAAGCAUCAAGAUUAAUAUCAUCAUCAUGUUCCAUCUUUACUAAGUGUAGAAUAGCGAUCAAGCAGUCCCAAACUGUGAGAGGCAGACGAAUCGAAUCAAAUUUAUUAAGCAUCCAUGACGAACCUAAUCCCACGACAUCCACGCACCACGAAGGGUCACUUCAC
RNAcentral lists this long non-coding RNA (367 nucleotides) under Setaria viridis. RNAcentral describes it as "long non-coding RNA (SVIR_LNC000799)". Lineage: Eukaryota; Viridiplantae; Streptophyta; Magnoliopsida; Poales; Poaceae. The record is from RNAcentral.